GUAGGGGCGGCCCUCGCGCUCGUGAAAACCUAGAGGCGGGAACCGAGUGGGCGGAAAGAAAAGAGUGCGAGGUCCCACCGAGGACCUACAAGAGCUGAGACUGUGGGGCCAGAGGAGGGGCAGUCAGCGUGAGCAGUAGGGCUCCCCGCAACUGACGCAGCAGAAGUGCUCCGGGUGCCAGUGAGUGCCCAAGGCAGUAACCAUCUUCUAUGGAGAACGAAAGGAGACACUCAGUGUGGCCCUCCAUCGCUUCUUCCCUCCCUCUCCCUCCCUGAACCUAGAGGCCACAUCGUGGGGAGAAGCGCUCAAAGUAGCACUCGGGGCAGAAGGGGGCUCCAUCCUUCUCGAAGAAGCUGCUGCCUCCCAGGGCCAGGGAACAGCCACCGCAAACGAAGUGCUCAGGGUGCCAAGCGCGG
This is a non-coding RNA of Equus caballus (horse), 416 nucleotides long. The record is from RefSeq and is a predicted model, not a curated record. Lineage: Eukaryota; Metazoa; Chordata; Mammalia; Perissodactyla; Equidae.